This 2759-nucleotide long non-coding RNA is filed under the name Daphnia pulex (common water flea). Its description in RNAcentral is "uncharacterized LOC124199366". The record is from RNAcentral. Lineage: Eukaryota; Metazoa; Arthropoda; Branchiopoda; Diplostraca; Daphniidae.
GUCUUUUGUGUCAGAAUGAUUAGCGGUUUUACCUAGUUUUACGUUGGGUUUUACGUAUUCUCACAUUCUGUCUGCUAGCCGCUAGGAUUUGAUUGUCAAACAAGCAGUGUUUUUUAUUAUUAUUUGCUGUCUCUCAAUACCAUGCUCAAUACCCAUGCUUGUAAGUCACAUUUUGACAGUUCGGGUCGACGUUUUGACAUUCAGGCCCGGGUCUACUCAUGGAACGUCAUAUACAACUGGUGUCUCAAUCCAACCAAUGAAAAAUGCAGCAUGGAGGUUGAUCAACCUGUUGUUCAAGAUUCAAGAAAACAUGAGCCUUACACACCUGCCCCACAAGCUGUUGAUCUCACUCCGUCACUCCUGACAAAUGUGGUGUUUUGAAAGAAAUCAAGCAGGCAGGAACUGGCAAUGGACUGCUCAGAGCAAGAGCAUCUCAGUCUACUACACAGGCUGUUUGACGAAACAUGGAACUUGAUUCCAGUUUGGACAGCUAGGGGAGAAAUUAAAAUUCCACCUUGGCAAAGGCAGUGUAUAAUAAAGCCGUGGAACCUUACUGGUGUAGCUACCAUUGAAGCGUGGAGAGGUGGCAGUCUUGUAAAUUGUAAAUCCAAUUAUGCCUGCAGAGAAAAUGAAAACCCACCUAAAAAUUCCUCAGAAAAGCCACAAGAUUGCUGGUGUUUGAGGUUGGAGGAAUUUUAAAUCAAACCUUGAAAGUUGGCAGUGGUUAUUCAAGUCCUAAUAAAGAAUGCACUUGUUGAAGUUUCACUGGUCGGUCGACACGGGGACACGGUAUAUUUUAUCAACAGUAUUUAAGUUUCAAUCUUCGAGAAGGUUUAGAGCACAACAUUCCUGACGGUGUUGAACAUGCUCUGUUGAAAUUCAAGAAGCAAGAGAGGAGCUUGAUUAAAUUGACACCGGCUCUGCCAGUAACGAGCAACUCGCUGUUCCAUACACAACGCCAACCUCGAAUGCAAGAUUGAACUCAAGAGCUUCGAAAAGGCUAAAGAGAGCUGGAAGAGGUUAAACUCUGCAAGGAAAAAGGAAUCAAUCAUUUCAAAAGGCCUAAUACGUGGCCAACAAACGACUACUCCAAAAUCGUCCCCUCCUCGAGUUUGAACAAACUCUUAAAGACGAGAAAGCUACAGAACGAGAACAGCUUAUGUUAGCAACACAAUCAAUCAGUCCAUGUGCUGUUUAAAGUGAAGCGAUUUCUGUGCAAUUCGUGAUCAAUGCCAAAAGGCGCUAGAAAUGGACCCAAAAAUGAAAAAGGUUUAUUCCUCGUUGCCAGGCACUUGUGGGCAUCUACGAGCUGGAGGAAGCCAAGAAACAUUUCGAGGCGAUUCUCCAACUUGAUUCGAUUAUCAAGGCGGCCACCAAUCAAAUGGUGAUCUGCAACGCAAGAUUUGCAAGCAACGCGAAACGGACAAGAAAUUGUACUCUAGCAUUUUCAACAAGAUGGACGUAAAUGAUUGACAGGUUAAACAAAAAGAAUGAAGGCAAAUGGCUUUACGGUUGGUGGGACGAGUCGACGAAAGGUGUCUAGCUAUACGCUGAUCUGGCUCUAAUCGAACGAGAUAAACAAGAAGCUGUGGAACAUUUAAAGGUCGAUCGUAGGAAAAUUAAUGCAGAUUUUUUCAAGCGCUACUGGCAGGAAACCCAAUAUCGUAUCAGUCAACGGGAAGCCGCUGAAUGUGAAUGAAAAUGACGGUAUGGAAAAUAGUGAAAUAGCUUCUUCCUACCAAAUAGCGGAGUCUACAGAAGCACCAAACGACAAUCAGAUGAUCUUCGUUAAAGGUUUUCGCGAUGCUUUUGCACUAUUUGAAUUUAUGAAAUUUAAUUUUGUGUCUCAUCUUUUCAAAUAAAAAUUCUGGAUUUGGCGGGUAAAUUUAAUAAUUGAAAAUGGAGAUUCUAUCGCAGUUAACGAACCGAAACCUACCCACUAAUGAAAAACUUUUUAGGAAAUGCUGGCUCGGUUGAAGUUGUCUCAGCCACCGUCGUAUAUUUGACUUCUGAUAUGCAAAUUAAUAUCACGCUAUAAUGGAGACAUGGCGAUGGAAGCCAAAUUCGUGUAUCAUUCAGCUUAAAAUAACAAAACAAAACAAAAUUAAUUUAACUCAAUCUGUAUAAGUAUAAGUAUAAAUGUAAUCUGAAUAAGUGUAAAUUUUUUCCCUCUUGUGAGAUGGUUUUCUAUGGCCUUUCAAAGUGUUGUUUAAGCUUUAAGUCUACCAAUCCGAUCACUUACUAAGUUUUACUCCUCGGUCAGUGUCAUCUGUAAAUGAUCCUUCACUUUAACUUUAGUUUUGAUUUUUUAAAAUUCUAUAUUCCCAACCACUGCUUACAUCACCAGCACUCCUGCUUUCUAAGAAGUGAUUGAUAGAAGCUAGAUGACUAGAGAUGGUACUUGACAACACUGUUACACAGAUAAGUUAAUGGAAAUAUAGGCGUCAGAUAUAUAUCCUUGGCAAUCUUAUCAUGCAUUAAGUUUCGUCGUUGAAUACCCUUUUUUUUAUAUAAUAGAAAAAGGAACAGCAAUAUGCCCAUUGUUUUUUAUUCACAAUCUUCAUUCAACAAAUCAAUCAUAAUAUGACAUAAGGCUGUUCAACGUUAUUGUGACCUUACCCUUGCUUGAACUUUAUUUUCUCAGUAUCGCUUGACCUCUAUUUUGUACAUGUUAUCAUUUUUGCCUUCCUAGAACUUUAUUUAUAAUUUUUUAGCACGUAGAAUAUCAAUUCCCUUGGCGGCAAUAAACUUGGCUGACC